CGAGGGUGAACACCACGAAAAAGCAGUGGAGCUACUGAAAGCAGCCAAGGACAGCGUCAAACUGGUGGUGCGUUACACCCCUAAAGUCCUGGAGGAGAUGGAGGCGAGGUUCGAGAAGCUUCGCACCGCCCGCAGACGCCAACAGCAGCAGCUCCUCAUUCAGCAACAGCAGCAGCAAAACCUGACCACCCAGCAGAACCACAUGUCGUAGGCUGUUCCAAAAGAAGAAAAAGUAGAGGACACUGAGUGAGACUGGCAUACUCUCACAGUCGUGAUGUAAGGAGGUCCGAGAGAUCUCAGAAGAGGACCCUUACUGUUCUGCAGUGAAGACUAUCCUCUUUCAGUCAACUACCUACAACUCAAAAAGGUUGAAAACUCCAUGAAUUUGUGUUCCAAAUUGUUGCUUGGAAAAAUGUACAUGAUUGCAUAAAGGAAGGCUAGCACUUAAGUACAUGGUUUUACACUUGCUUGUUCAUAUUUCAGUUGUCUGGAACCAAUCCCAAGUUGUGACCCUCUUUAAAAAAAAGUCCCUCUUGUAGUUUUGUGAUAAUGUGAUUUCUCAACAUGUAUUUCUUAAGCAUUCAAUGAUUUGUUUUUACUAUCAUUAUAUUUAUGUUGCCACAGCGCUGUACAGUAACUUUUCGAAGGGUUCUUUUGGUGCUGGUGUCUCUGGCGCUUUUUAAGUCAGUCAUCCUUUAUUGGAUAACACUGAGGUAUUUUAUACCAUAUUGUAGCAAGGAAUAUUUUGUAAAGAAAAUAGAUUUAGCAAUAACACUUGUUUUGUCACAUCCUACUGUCAAAUUAUGGUUAAAAAGCCCAUUUUAGGCGUAGAAAUGAAUUGAGGGAAAAGUUGCUACAAAACUGUAUCUUAUGCACCAUAAGUCAGACUAAACCAUAAACAUCAUUUGCACAGAAUGUUCUUAUGAGAUCACUGUAUCACAGUGCCAUUGACAGAGAUUAUCUUGUACAUUUGGCAUAUUGUAUCGGCAGACAUUUAAAGGUAAAGUGUGUCAUUUUUGCAAAUACUUUCUCAGAUUUCAUCUUAAUAUACAAAUUAAAGUAAACACUGCAUUGAUAUAUCAAUUUGUUUGUGCAUCCACCCAGUAGCAUGAGUUUGAGGCAGGACUUCACAUUUGGAAACCAGUAGCAGAAAUGUUUGGAAACGGUCCUUAUUUUCUCAAUUUGUUUUUGUGGCACAGUACUGACACA
Long non-coding RNA from Sinocyclocheilus grahami, 1209 nucleotides. RefSeq lists it as uncharacterized. The transcript is spliced from 2 exons. The record is from RefSeq and is a predicted model, not a curated record. Lineage: Eukaryota; Metazoa; Chordata; Actinopteri; Cypriniformes; Cyprinidae.